Molecule: long non-coding RNA, 783 nt
Filed under: Lathyrus oleraceus (garden pea)
Lineage: Eukaryota; Viridiplantae; Streptophyta; Magnoliopsida; Fabales; Fabaceae
Description: Pisum sativum (pea) long non-coding RNA (PSAT_LNC030528)
Source: RNAcentral
UCCAACGAUUCCAGCGAGAACUCCGGCGAGGGUUUCUACCUCAGGUACGUUCCUUCUGAACUCUUCUCCUUCUGAUUCUGUCUGGUUCUACCCUCCAUUUCCUUCUGAAUCCUCUUCUUCUUCUCUCUGCUUCUUUGGGCUGUUGCAGGCGGAUUAGCUCAAGUUCACUCAAGCUUUGAUGAAAAUCUUGGGGAACUUUUGAAAAGAGCUUUGUAUGAGGUUUGUGGGGGGUUUCUUCAGAGCUUCUGCUAGUGAUUUUUAGCGUGAUUUGAGAGGUGCAUUUAUAGGAGAAUUGGGAGAGUGAUGUGGUGACACUCGUGUGAAGUUUUUAGAGGGAAUCCUUGCAAGUGUGCGAGUGAAAUGAGCAAGGUGUGAGUUGAAAGUGAGUAAACUCGUGACUGAAUGUAAGGAAAAAGUGAUUCUUGAUCGGUGAAGUAUGUAUGGAAUGGCAAAUGGCGCAUGGUGUGGUGAUAACUACAGCGUGGAUGAUGGGGAUGGCAUACCGUCACGCAUUUUACAAGCUUUUCAAGUUGUAUGGAAUACGGAUGUAAUUUCACUUUUUUCAUGUAAUAGGUUCAAGUUGAUUCCAUGUGUAUUUGCAAUGUAUGCAUGGUGUAAAGAUUGAUGUAUUUUGUGACUCAACAGGAUUUAAUUAACUAAAAUUAUUUGUUUCUUUCAUUUUAUUCCAAUGGUGAUGUACAUGAUGAUGGAUGACUGUAUGGAACAUGUGAACUGUAGCACAGCUAUUUCAAAUUAGUAAACUGAAUUUGAUUUAUUUUUUAA